This is a long non-coding RNA of Colius striatus (speckled mousebird), 704 nucleotides long. RefSeq lists it as uncharacterized. The transcript is spliced from 2 exons. NCBI's taxonomy places the organism in Eukaryota, Metazoa, Chordata, Aves, Coliiformes, Coliidae. The record is from RefSeq and is a predicted model, not a curated record.
UGUCAGCCCCUCUCGGGCCAGGAGCAGGAAAAGAUAGAAGGGAUCUCUAUCUGUCCCAGCACGCCCGCGGGAGGCGAAUCGGCACUAGGGGGAAGCCGAGCCCUGCGCAGCCGCCUCGGCGCUGGCGCCCGCCCCGGUCGGGCCCGGCCCCUCCCGCCCGCCGUGCGAGGCUGCUGCCGGGGUGAGGGCGAGGCCGGGCCUGGAGCGGGGCUGGCCGCUUGCUUCUCAAAGCGACCGGCGACAGGGGGAGUUGUCUAAGCGAAAUGCUUGGGUACAGGACGAAGCGAGGCGGCCUCUCCGCGCAGCAGCCGGGCCCGGGCUGCCGGGGGUGCGCCUGGCGGGUCCCGCCUGCUGCCCCCCCGCCGCGGCCUCGGGGGAGGAGGAGGGGAACCAAAUGGAAGCGCGAGCAGCAUGGCGGCGGGUAGGCUGAGUGUGAAAACCCGACUCGAAGGGUGCUAUUAGCCGCCUCCCCCCCUGCCCCCUUCCCGCAAGUUGCUUUCCUUUGCAAAUGCGUUUUCAAAGUACAGGGCUCCUGCUGACGUGGUCAGAUUUGCACCCUUGGAUAUCCAGGGUCUGACAUCCCGGUUCGGAAGCUAAAGAGGAUCAAACGCCUCUGCUGGCUUUAAAAGCAAUAAAACUUUACACGUCCUUUCCUUUUCCCCUUCCCAUUUGUCCCCCGGCUGAGAAAACGCGGGAGGGAACGG